AGGGUUUGAUUCUGGCUCAGGAUGAACGCUGGCGGCGUGCUUAACACAUGCAAGUCGAACGAAGCAUUUAGAACAGAUUACUUCGGUUUGAAGUUCUUUAUGACUGAGUGGCGGACGGGUGAGUAACGCGUGGGUAACCUACCCUGUACAGGGGGAUAACAGUCAGAAAUGACUGCUAAUACCGCAUAAGACCACAGCACCGCAUGGUGCAGGGGUAAAAACUCCGGUGGUACAGGAUGGACCCGCGUCUGAUUAGCUGGUUGGUGAGGUAACGGCUCACCAAGGCGACGAUCAGUAGCCGGCUUGAGAGAGUGAACGGCCACAUUGGGACUGAGACACGGCCCAA
This 346-nucleotide ribosomal RNA is filed under the name uncultured bacterium. Its description in RNAcentral is "bacterial SSU rRNA". It matches the Rfam family "Bacterial small subunit ribosomal RNA", at positions 8 to 334 of the family's 1533-position model. The record is from RNAcentral.